Molecule: ribosomal RNA, 895 nt
Filed under: uncultured bacterium
Lineage: Bacteria
Description: bacterial SSU rRNA
Rfam family: Bacterial small subunit ribosomal RNA
Source: RNAcentral
GAGCAAUAACACUGCUUGAGCUGAUUGUAGCGAAAGAGGAAGGGACGGCUAACUCUGUGCCAGCAGCCGCGGUAAUACAGAGGUCCCGAGCGUUGUUCGGAUUCACUGGGCGUAAAGGGUGCGUAGGUGGCCGUGGAAGUUCGGUGUGAAAGCUCGGAGCUCAACUCCGAAAUGUCAUUGAAUACUCUACGGCUGGAGGGUCGGAGGGGAGACUGGAAUUCUCGGUGUAGCAGUGAAAUGCGUAGAUAUCGAGAGGAACACCAGUGGCGAAGGCGAGUCUCUGGACGACACCUGACACUGAGGCACGAAAGCUAGGGGAGCAAACAGGAUUAGAUACCCUGGUAGUCCUAGCUGUAAACGGUGCACGUUUGCUGUAAGAGGAAUCGACCCCUUUUGUGGCGAAGCUAACGCGAUAAACGUGCCGCCUGGGGAGUACGGUCGCAAGAUUAAAACUCAAAGAAAUUGACGGGGGCCUGCACAAGCGGUGGAGUAUGUGGCUUAAUUCGAUGCAACGCGAAGAACCUUACCUGGCCUUGACAUGCACGUAGUAGGAGCCUGAAAGGGUGACGACCUCGCAAGAGGAGCGUGCACAGGUGCUGCAUGGCUGUCGUCAGCUCGUGUCGUGAGAUGUUGGGUUAAGUCCCGCAACGAGCGCAACCCUUGUGUCCUGUUGCCACUCAAUCGAGAGAUUGGAGCACUCUGGACAGACUGCCUCGCUUAAACGAGGAGGAAGGUGGGGAUGACGUCAAGUCAGGAUGGCCCUUACGGCCAGGGCUGCACACGUACUACAAUGCCCGGCACAGAGGGAAGCAAGACCGAUAGGUGGAGCAAAUCCCAGAAAACCGGGCUCAGUUCAGAUUGUCGGCUGCAACUCGCCGACAUGAAGCUGGAAUCG